This 81-nucleotide transfer RNA is filed under the name Synergistes jonesii. It matches the Rfam family "tRNA". From Rfam's summary of the family: Transfer RNA (tRNA) molecules are approximately 80 nucleotides in length. The record is from Rfam by way of RNAcentral. Lineage: Bacteria; Thermotogati; Synergistota; Synergistia; Synergistales; Synergistaceae.
GCGGGAAUGGCGGAACUGGUAGACGCGCUGGACUUAGGAUCCAGUGGAUUUUCCGUGGGGGUUCGAGUCCCCCUUCCCGCA